This 253-nucleotide ribosomal RNA is filed under the name uncultured bacterium. RNAcentral's name for it is "partial 16S ribosomal RNA". It matches the Rfam family "Bacterial small subunit ribosomal RNA", at positions 524 to 776 of the family's 1533-position model. The record is from RNAcentral.
UACGUAGGGGGCAAGCGUUAUCCGGAUUUACUGGGUGUAAAGGGAGCGUAGACGGCAUAGCAAGUCUGAAGUGAAAGCCCAAGGCUCAACCAUGGGACUGCUUUGGAAACUGUUAAGCUAGAGGGCUGGAGAGGUAAGCGGAAUUCCUAGUGUAGCGGUGAAAUGCGUAGAUAUUAGGAAGAACACCAGUGGCGAAGGCGGCUUACUGGACAGUAACUGACGUUGAGGCUCGAAAGCGUGGGGAGCAAACAGG